Molecule: small RNA, 102 nt
Filed under: Escherichia coli
Lineage: Bacteria; Pseudomonadati; Pseudomonadota; Gammaproteobacteria; Enterobacterales; Enterobacteriaceae
Description: partial RtT sRNA
Rfam family: RtT RNA
About the family: This family represents a bacterial cis-regulatory element known as RtT RNA. The exact function of RtT is unknown although it is thought that it may be involved in changing the cellular response in relation to amino acid starvation.
Source: RNAcentral
AUUCUGCCCAAGCGGGGAAGGAUGAGAAGCUUCGACUAAGGUUCGACUCGAGCGCCAGCGAGAGAGCGUUGCCGCAGGCAACGACCCGAAGGGCGAAGCGCG